RNAcentral lists this non-coding RNA (53 nucleotides) under unclassified sequences. RNAcentral describes it as "Mu-gpT-DE RNA". It matches the Rfam family "Mu-gpT-DE RNA". The record is from Rfam by way of RNAcentral.
CCCUGACAGACGCAAGGUGCGUCUGACAAUAGCCAAGACAGGAGAUCAUAAUG